RNAcentral lists this ribosomal RNA (305 nucleotides) under uncultured eukaryote. Its description in RNAcentral is "partial large subunit ribosomal RNA". It matches the Rfam family "Eukaryotic large subunit ribosomal RNA", at positions 40 to 350 of the family's 3401-position model. The record is from RNAcentral.
AUAUUAUUAAGCGGAGGAAAAGAAAUUAACUAAGAUUGCCUUAGUAAGGGCGACUGAACCGGCAAAAGCUCAAAAUUAAAAUCGGAAAUUCAAAGAAUUUUCGAAUUGUAAUCAGGAUAACCUAAAUACGAAGUAUUGCUCAAUCAUGUCGAAACAUGAGCCAAAGAGGGUGAAAGCCCCGUACAGCAUUAUCUCGAACAAGGUAAUCCCAAAAAAGAGUCGGGUUGCUUGGAACUGUAGCCCUAACUGGGAGAUAUGAAUCUUCCAAAGCUAAAUAUAGAUGGGAGACCGAUAGCGCACAAGUA